AGGAUCAUUACAAAAUGUUAUGGGAUGUCCUAACGGGCACCCAAGCA
This 47-nucleotide ribosomal RNA is filed under the name Tuber sp. Tp. Its description in RNAcentral is "partial 18S ribosomal RNA". Lineage: Eukaryota; Fungi; Ascomycota; Pezizomycetes; Pezizales; Tuberaceae. The record is from RNAcentral.